Molecule: small RNA, 82 nt
Filed under: Flavobacterium sp. 245
Lineage: Bacteria; Pseudomonadati; Bacteroidota; Flavobacteriia; Flavobacteriales; Flavobacteriaceae
Description: Flavo-1 RNA
Rfam family: Flavo-1 RNA
Source: RNAcentral
CCCUAGCCCUGAUAGAAGCGGCAUCCUUUUAUGGUCUCGUUUUUAAACGAGAUAAAAAAUAAAGCGGAUAGCAGGAUUAAGC